GGCUAGGUAGCUCAGUUGGUAGAGCAGCGGACUGAAAAUCCGCGUGUCGGCGGUUCAAUUCCGUCCCUAGCCA
RNAcentral lists this transfer RNA (73 nucleotides) under Pyrinomonadaceae bacterium. Its description in RNAcentral is "tRNA-Phe". It matches the Rfam family "tRNA". From Rfam's summary of the family: Transfer RNA (tRNA) molecules are approximately 80 nucleotides in length. Their secondary structure includes four short double-helical elements and three loops (D, anti-codon, and T loops). Further hydrogen bonds mediate the characteristic L-shaped molecular structure. tRNAs have two regions of fundamental functional importance: the anti-codon, which is responsible for specific mRNA codon recognition, and the 3' end, to which the tRNAs corresponding amino acid is attached (by aminoacyl-tRNA synthetases). tRNAs cope with the degeneracy of the genetic code in two manners: having more than one tRNA (with a specific anti-codon) for a particular amino acid; and 'wobble' base-pairing, i.e. permitting non-standard base-pairing at the 3rd anti-codon position. The record is from RNAcentral. Lineage: Bacteria; Pseudomonadati; Acidobacteriota; Blastocatellia; Blastocatellales; Pyrinomonadaceae.